This 253-nucleotide ribosomal RNA is filed under the name uncultured bacterium. RNAcentral's name for it is "partial 16S ribosomal RNA". It matches the Rfam family "Bacterial small subunit ribosomal RNA", at positions 524 to 776 of the family's 1533-position model. The record is from RNAcentral.
GACGGAGGGGGCUAGCGUUGUUCGGAAUUACUGGGCGUAAAGAGCACGUAGGCGGCGGUGUAAGUUGGGGGUGAAAUCCCGGGGCUCAACCCCGGAACUGCCUCCAAAACUACUAGUCUUGAGAUCGUGAGAGGUGAGUGGAAUUCCGAGUGUAGAGGUGAAAUUCGUAGAUAUUCGGAGGAACAUCAGUGGCGAAGGCGGCUCACUGGCACGAUACUGACGCUGAGGUACGAAAGUGUGGGGAGCAAACAGG